This 384-nucleotide ribosomal RNA is filed under the name uncultured organism. Its description in RNAcentral is "bacterial SSU rRNA". It matches the Rfam family "Bacterial small subunit ribosomal RNA", at positions 367 to 762 of the family's 1533-position model. The record is from RNAcentral.
UGCAUUGGGCGCAUGUCUGACGGAGCGACGCCCCGUGACAGAAGAAAUCCCUUUGGGAUGUAAACUUCUUUUAUAGGGGAAGAAGUUUAUUGACGGUACCUUAUGAAUAAGGGGCUCCUAAUCUCGGGCCCGCCGGAGCGGUAAUACGAGAGCCCCAAGCGUUAUCCGGAAUUAUUGGGCGUAAAGGAUGAGUAGGCGGCUUUGUUAGUCUUCGGUUAAAUCUUCGAGCUCAACUCGAAAACCGCUGAGGAAACGGCAAAGCUAUGAGAGUGUGAGAGGCGUGUGGAACUCAUGGUGUAGGGGUGAAAUCCGUUGAUUUCUUGGGGAACACCAAAAGCAAAGGCAGCACGCUGGCACACAUCUCACCCUGAAUCAUGAAACCGU